AAACUUUCAACAACGGAUCUCUUGGUUCUGGCAUCGAUGAAGAACGCAGCGAAAUGCGAUACGUAGUGUGAAUUGCAGAAUUCAGUGAAUCAUCGAAUCUUUGAACGCACAUUGCGCCCUUUGGUAUUCC
RNAcentral lists this ribosomal RNA (130 nucleotides) under Exserohilum rostratum. Its description in RNAcentral is "5.8S ribosomal RNA". It matches the Rfam family "5.8S ribosomal RNA", at positions 1 to 129 of the family's 154-position model. From Rfam's summary of the family: 5.8S ribosomal RNA (5.8S rRNA) is a component of the large subunit of the eukaryotic ribosome. It is transcribed by RNA polymerase I as part of the 45S precursor that also contains 18S and 28S rRNA. Functionally, it is thought that 5.8S rRNA may be involved in ribosome translocation. Lineage: Eukaryota; Fungi; Ascomycota; Dothideomycetes; Pleosporales; Pleosporaceae. The record is from RNAcentral.